AUUUACGACAACCGUUCGUAAGACGUGUCUGUUUACACGUGAGUUGAAAAUAUUGUAAACAGUGCUUUGGAUAAAUUCUAAAUUCUCUGAUUCUGUCCAUAUUAACAAAUUAAACUAUGUCUAGACGAUUGAGAAACCUUAAAGCUAUUGAUGAUGGCAGUGACGAGGAAUCGGAUGCUGAUUUUGAUGAUUUAAAUAAUGAAGAAAACAGCGAAGAAGAUGAAGACGAAGAGAGCGAGGAAGGGGAGGAGGAGGAAGAAGAUAACUUGUUGUUACCAAGUGAUGUAGAUGAUGACGACAGUGAUGCUGCUCCUGAAGAUAUUGGUUUCAAUGUCAGCAAAGAUUUAGCUUUGAAAAAGAUAAAGAAUGCUAUUAAUGUGUUAAAAAAUGAAAAAGCCACCACGAAAAAUAAACGAAAGCUAAAGGAUGAAUUAUUUCAACAACAAAAGAAACAGAAAUUAAAGAAUUUUGAGAAGAAUAAAUUAUCAGAUGAUAUUUUAGAAGCUGUUUCAGGAAAACCACUUAAAAAACAUCGAAAGUCAACUGAUAAUGAUGUUGAAAAUAACAAAAGAAUAAAGUUUGAAGAUGAUGAUUUAGAAAUGUUAGGUGAAGAAAAACAUAUAGAAAGUGAAGAAUUUAUUCCAUUAAACAGUAGUAAAGGUUUAGUGGUAAAAUCUGUCGGAUCUAAAAAUACCAAUAUUUCACAAACAGCGCAAGAUUUUAAAAAUAAUAUGUUAUAUGGUGGUAGAAUAAAACGUAUUGAUGCUCAAGGCCUACAAAGACAAAUUGCAAAAAGAAGAGUGAGAAAAGUUUAGCUCAUGACAUAGACAACAUAAUAUGAGUUCCUAUAGAUUUAUUGAAACAAGACUAUAUUUUAUGGAGUUGAACUUGGAAUCCAUUAAAUCAACACAUAAGACACAAAAAGAUAGAUUAUCUUAUUCAACAUUUUGUUACAAUCUUGAUUGCUGAAGAAGAAAUAAGAACAUAAGUUUUUGAAAGUAAUAGAAAUGGGCCAAGAACUGAGCCUUUGUCACACCAGCAAUAACAGCUACAGCAUUUGCACUGUAAAAAAAAAACAGUUUGCCAUGAUCUUCCAAGCGAAUGUCAGAUGAAUCGUUUCUUAUGUGAAUACCAGGUACAUGGACCUUUCCACAAAUUAUAUAUUUACAAAACAGACUUAUUACCUUAGGAAAUAAUGGUUCAAAUCAUGGUCUCGUCUCAUAAAUUGUUUUUGUGAUAAAGCUUAGCCAAAAGAACAUUAAGACAGGGGUUAAAAUAGACUGAGUUGAUUCACCUGCCCUUGUUCAAAGUUCUAUUUCUUAAAGAUACAUCAUGGGAGAUUAGAUAACGAGCUGGCAUUUCUCACUAUAUUAGUUAAAAACUAGAUAAUGUAAUGGGAAUUUGCUGAAAUUCUCAGUCAAAUUGAUCCAUUCUGAACCAAGAAUUUAGCGUUUAAUUUUUAGACCUAGCCUCGAUCAUCAUUACUAAAGUCGGUACAAUAAAAAAACAUCUGGAUUAUCCAUUUUUUGAUUUAAUCAUCAAUAAGCGUUGAGCAGCAGAUCGGAUUCUAAUCCAAUAAAUAUCGCAGGCUAGUGAUGACACCAAGAGUUGAUUAUGGUCUGGAUAAGUUAAUUAAUGUCUAAUUAAUAAUUUAGAUAACAUUUCAGUCCUAAAGAAAGACCUGCAAUAGGCAGAUUUAGCUCUUGUAUAAUGUAUUUUUAAUAAAAAUAUUGUUAGCA
Patella vulgata (common limpet) is the source of this 1739-nucleotide long non-coding RNA. RefSeq lists it as uncharacterized. NCBI's taxonomy places the organism in Eukaryota, Metazoa, Mollusca, Gastropoda, Patellidae. The record is from RefSeq and is a predicted model, not a curated record. The transcript is spliced from 6 exons.